UAGGGAAUCUUCCGCAAUGGACGCAAGUCUGACGGAGCAACGCCGCGUGAGUGAAGAAGGAUUUCGGUUCGUAAAACUCUGUUGUUAGAGAAGAACAGCGCAUAGAGUAACUGUUAUGCGUGUGACGGUAUCUAACCAGAAAGCCACGGCUAACUACGUGCCAGCAGCCGCGGUAAUACGUAGGUGGCAAGCGUUGUCCGGAUUUAUUGGGCGUAAAGCGAGCGCAGGCGGUCAAUUAAGUCUGAUGUGAAAGCCCCCGGCUCAACCGGGGAGGGUCAUUGGAAACUGGUUGACUUGAGUGCAGGAGAGGAGAGUGGAAUUCCAUGUGUAGCGGUGAAAUGCGUAGAUAUAUGGAGGAACACCAGUGGCGAAGGCGACUCUCUGGUCUGUAACUGACGCUGAGGCUCGAAAGCGUGGGUAGCAAACAGG
This 429-nucleotide ribosomal RNA is filed under the name Bacteroidota bacterium. RNAcentral's name for it is "Bacteroidetes bacterium partial 16S ribosomal RNA". It matches the Rfam family "Bacterial small subunit ribosomal RNA", at positions 355 to 776 of the family's 1533-position model. The record is from RNAcentral. Lineage: Bacteria; Pseudomonadati; Bacteroidota.